Molecule: transfer RNA, 63 nt
Filed under: Scolytus seulensis
Lineage: Eukaryota; Metazoa; Arthropoda; Insecta; Coleoptera; Curculionidae
Description: tRNA-Ile
Source: RNAcentral
AACAGAGAGCCUGAUUAAAGGGCCAUUUUGAUAGAGUGGAUUAUGUAAAGUUUACCUCUGUUU